UACGGAGGGGGCUAGCGUUGUUCGGAAUUACUGGGCGUAAAGCGCGCGUAGGCGGACCUGCAAGUCGGGGGUGAAAGCCCGAGGCUCAACCUCGGAACUGCCUUCGAUACUGCGGGUCUCGAGUCCGGGAGAGGUGAGUGGAAUUCCUAGUGUAGAGGUGAAAUUCGUAGAUAUUAGGAGGAACACCCGUGGCGAAAGCGGCUCUCUGGGACGGUACUGACGCUGAGACGCGAAAGCGUGGGGAGCAAACGGG
RNAcentral lists this ribosomal RNA (253 nucleotides) under uncultured bacterium. Its description in RNAcentral is "partial 16S ribosomal RNA". It matches the Rfam family "Bacterial small subunit ribosomal RNA", at positions 524 to 776 of the family's 1533-position model. The record is from RNAcentral.